AGGCUUGAAAUGCCAGUUUCAUAAGAAGCAGGUGAGGAAUAGGUUUCUAACUGGUCAUUGUUGUCAUUUUUCGCGGAAGUGUUUAGCACUGGAACAGCAUUAGAAACUGCUGAUGACGAUACCAGGCAACUUGCCAAGAGAGAGGGUGCGGAGCUGAAUGAAUCGUCUGUUUCAAAACUGAAUGAUUCAGGAUUCAAGUCAAACAUUCCUUCUUCGUUAUUCCUGUGAUUGUCAUUGCCGCCGCUUUCCUCGUUGUCGAAACUGUAAACAUUGAGCUGUUCAGAGGCUUUCCAGGUCGUAAGUGUCAUUGAUGGCUGUGAGAAACACGAUAGAGGUUUUCCAGGUUUUUCCUCCCAGUUGAAAGGAACCGAGGCAACAAGCUUGACUGGAGAUGGUAGAGCUAGGGUAGUAACUGGAGAAACCACAGGUCUCCAGUCCUUUUUUGCUACUCCUGGCCUUUCCUCCCAG
This 468-nucleotide unclassified non-coding RNA is filed under the name Hevea brasiliensis (rubber tree). The record is from RNAcentral. Lineage: Eukaryota; Viridiplantae; Streptophyta; Magnoliopsida; Malpighiales; Euphorbiaceae.